Molecule: non-coding RNA, 270 nt
Organism: Cinara cedri
Lineage: Eukaryota; Metazoa; Arthropoda; Insecta; Hemiptera; Aphididae
Source: the annotation of a GenBank genome assembly
ACCACUGGUAUUCAUCAUCAGCUCUACCCGAAAAAGACGAAUAGAUGGAACUUUGAAAAAAUUAUUAUUUUUCGGAUAACAUCUUUUUCGUACCGCUCGUGUUUGUUUUAUAAUUGUUCGAAUAUUUGUUUUAGAUUUCGAAUGCAGUGGUGCACACAGAGGAGCAUUAGGGGGUCGAUUCCCCACCCCCCCCCGAAAAAUUUUCCUUCGCUACGUUUUUCAAAAUCAAUUUUUAAAUUCAACAACAUAAUGUCUUGUACCGCAGAAUGG